Cricetulus griseus (Chinese hamster) is the source of this 73-nucleotide non-coding RNA. Lineage: Eukaryota; Metazoa; Chordata; Mammalia; Rodentia; Cricetidae. The record is from Rfam.
GGAGAGAUGGCUCAGUGGUUAAGAGCACUGACUGCUCUUCCAGAGGACCUGGGUUCAAUUCCCAGCACCCCCA